This 163-nucleotide ribosomal RNA is filed under the name uncultured bacterium. Its description in RNAcentral is "partial 16S rRNA". It matches the Rfam family "Bacterial small subunit ribosomal RNA", at positions 358 to 511 of the family's 1533-position model. The record is from RNAcentral.
GGAAUCUUCGGCAAUGGGGGCAACCCUGACCCGAGCAACGCCGCGUGAGUGAAGAAGGUUUUCGGAUCGUAAAGCUCUGUUGUAAGAGAAGAACGUGUGUGAGAGUGGAAAGUUCACACAGUGACGGUAACUUACCAGAAAGGGACGGCUAACUACGUGCCAG